UGCUCCUACGGGGGGCAGCAGUGAGGAAUAUUGGUCAAUGGCCGCAGGGCUGAACCAGCCAAGUCGCGUGAGGGAUGACGGUCCUAUGGAUUGUAAACCUCUUUUGUCAGGGAGCAAAGGGCGCCACGUGUGGCGUUUUGCGAGUACCUGAAGAAAAAGCAUCGGCUAACUCCGUGCCAGCAGCCGCGGUAAUACGUAGGUAGCAAGCGUUAUCCGGAUUUAUUGGGUGUAAAGGGCGUGUAGGCGGGAGCGCAAGUCAGGUGUGAAAACUCAGGGCUCAACCCUGAGCCUGCAUUUGAAACUGU
Molecule: ribosomal RNA, 305 nt
Filed under: uncultured bacterium
Lineage: Bacteria
Description: bacterial SSU rRNA
Rfam family: Bacterial small subunit ribosomal RNA
Source: RNAcentral